GGGCGUGUGGUCUAGGGGUAUGAUGUUCGCUUCGCAUCUUUGAUCUGAUUAUCAGACGAUAUGUAAUUGCGAAAGGUCGAGGGUUCAAUUCCCUCCUCGUCCA
Molecule: non-coding RNA, 103 nt
Organism: Fusarium poae
Lineage: Eukaryota; Fungi; Ascomycota; Sordariomycetes; Hypocreales; Nectriaceae
Source: Rfam